RNAcentral lists this ribosomal RNA (465 nucleotides) under Vreelandella stevensii. RNAcentral describes it as "partial 16S ribosomal RNA". It matches the Rfam family "Bacterial small subunit ribosomal RNA", at positions 338 to 795 of the family's 1533-position model. The record is from RNAcentral. Lineage: Bacteria; Pseudomonadati; Pseudomonadota; Gammaproteobacteria; Oceanospirillales; Halomonadaceae.
CCUACGGGCGGCAGCAGUGGGGAAUAUUGGACAAUGGGCGAAAGCCUGAUCCAGCCAUGCCGCGUGUGUGAAGAAGGCCUUCGGGUUGUAAAGCACUUUCAGUGGGGAAGAAAGCCUUGGGGCUAAUACCCUCGAGGAAGGACAUCACCCACAGAAGAAGCACCGGCUAACUCCGUGCCAGCAGCCGCGGUAAUACGGAGGGUGCGAGCGUUAAUCGGAAUUACUGGGCGUAAAGCGCGCGUAGGCGGUCUGAUAAGCCGGUUGUGAAAGCCCCGGGCUCAACCUGGGAACGGCAUCCGGAACUGUCAGGCUAGAGUGCAGGAGAGGAAGGUAGAAUUCCCGGUGUAGCGGGGAAAUGCGUAGAGAUCGGGAGGAAUACCAGUGGCGAAGGCGGCCUUCUGGACUGACACUGACGCUGAGGUGCGAAAGCGUGGGUAGCAAACAGGAUUAGAUACCCCUGUAGUC